RNAcentral lists this ribosomal RNA (916 nucleotides) under Wasmannina sp. JP-2017. RNAcentral describes it as "SSU rRNA". It matches the Rfam family "Eukaryotic small subunit ribosomal RNA", at positions 441 to 1289 of the family's 1831-position model. The record is from RNAcentral. Lineage: Eukaryota; Metazoa; Arthropoda; Insecta; Coleoptera; Staphylinidae.
UUACCCACUCCCAGUACGGGGAGGUAGUGACGAUAAAUAACGAUACGGGACUCAUCCGAGGCCCCGUAAUCGGAAUGAGUACACUUUAAAACUUUUUCCGAGGAUCAAUUGGAGGGUAAGUCUGGUGCCAGCCGCCGCGGUAAUUCCAGCUCCAAUAGCGUAUAUUAAAGUUGUUGCGGUUAAAAGGCUCGUAGUCGAAUCUGUGUCCCGCGCCGCUGGUUCAUCGCUCGCGGUGUCCAACUGGCGUGUCUCGCGGGACGUCCUGCCGGUGGGCACUCGCAUCGUUCGCGGUGCGAGGCCCUGCUCGUUGCCGUCUCGUACGGCUGCGAUCCCAUCGCGGUGCUCUUUAUUGAGUGUCGAGGUGGGCCGGCACAUUUACUUUGAACAAAUUAGAGUGCUUAAAGCAGGCCAGUUUUGCCUGAAUAUUGUGUGCAUGGAAUAAUGGAAUAGGACCUCGGUUCUAUUUUGUUGGUUUCCGGAACCCCGAGGUAAUGAUUAGUAGGAACGGAUGGGGGCAUUCGUAUUGCGACGUUAGAGGUGAAAUUCUUGGAUCGUCGCAAGACGAACAGAAGCGAAAGCAUUUGCCAAAAACGCUUUCAUUGAUCAAGAACGAAAGUUAGAGGCUCGAAGGCGAUCAGAUACCGCCCUAGUUCUAACCAUAAACGAUGCCAGCUAGCGAUCCGCCGACGUUCCUCCGAUGACUCGGCGGGCAGCUUCCGGGAAACCAAAGCUUUUGGGUUCCGGGGGAAGUAUGGUUGCAAAGCUGAAACUUAAAGGAAUUGACGGAAGGGCACCACCAGGAGUGGAGCCUGCGGCUCAAUUUGACUCAACACGGGACACCUCACCAGGCCCGGACACCGGAAGGAUUGACAGAUUGAUAGCUCUUUCUUGAUUCGGUGGGUGGUGGUGCAUGGCC